This 377-nucleotide ribosomal RNA is filed under the name uncultured Planctomycetota bacterium. RNAcentral's name for it is "bacterial SSU rRNA". It matches the Rfam family "Bacterial small subunit ribosomal RNA", at positions 521 to 896 of the family's 1533-position model. The record is from RNAcentral. Lineage: Bacteria; Pseudomonadati; Planctomycetota.
UAAGACGAAGGUGGCUAGCGUUGUUCGGUAUUACUGGGCUUAAAGCGUGUGUAGGCGGAAAGGUAAGCGCCAUGUGAAAUCCCUCGGCUUAACCGAGGAAUUGCUUGGCGAACUGUCUUUCUUGAGGCAAGUAGGGGUGCAUGGAACUCUUGGUGGAGCGGUGGAAUGCGUAGAUAUCAAGAGGAACGCCGGUGGAGAAAUCGGUGCACUGGGCUUGUCCUGACGCUGAGACACGAAAGCGUGGGUAGCGAACGGGAUUAGAUACCCCGGUAGUCCACGCCGUAAACGAUGCCUACUAGGUUGUGGGGGUUCUGACACUCGCACAGCCGAAGCAAAAGUGUUAAGUAGGCCGCCUGGGGAGUACGGUCGCAAGGCUA